Molecule: transfer RNA, 57 nt
Filed under: Dipodomys ordii (Ord's kangaroo rat)
Lineage: Eukaryota; Metazoa; Chordata; Mammalia; Rodentia; Heteromyidae
Rfam family: tRNA
About the family: Transfer RNA (tRNA) molecules are approximately 80 nucleotides in length. Their secondary structure includes four short double-helical elements and three loops (D, anti-codon, and T loops).
Source: Rfam by way of RNAcentral
GGCUCAGUGGUAGAGCGCUUGCCUUGUAUGCAUGAGGCCCUGGGUUCGAUUCCUCAG